Sciurus carolinensis (gray squirrel) is the source of this 395-nucleotide non-coding RNA. Lineage: Eukaryota; Metazoa; Chordata; Mammalia; Rodentia; Sciuridae. The record is from the annotation of a RefSeq genome assembly.
GGACACCAAGUGCUUGUCAGGAUCCCACAAUGGCCCAGAUGAUGGCUCUCCUGGUGCUCCUCUCUUAUGGUUCAGUGGUGGAUUCUCAGACCACGGUGAUCCAGGAGCCCUCACUCUCUGUGUCUCCAGGUGGGACUGUGACUCUCACCUGUGGGCUUAGCUCCGGGUCAGUCUCUACAGGUCACUACCCCGGCUGGUACCAGCAGACACCAGGACGUGCUCCCCACACACUCAUCUACAACACAAACUCCCGUCCCUCUGGGGUCCCUGCUCGAUUCUCUGGUUCCAUCCUUGGAAACAAAGCUGCCCUCACCAUCACAGGGACUCAGACUGAUGAUGAAGCUGAUUAUUACUGUGCACUCUAUAUGGGUGGUGGAAUUCACACAGUGAUCUAA